CCUACGGGUGGCAGCAGUGAGGAAUAUUGGUCAAUGGCCGGAAGGCUGAACCAGCCAUGCCGCGUGAAGGUCAGUGCCCUAUGGGCGUUAAACUUCUUUUGUGCGGGAGCAAUAAUGGUCACGUGUGGCCAGACGAGAGUACCGUACGAAUAAGCAUCGGCUAACUCCGUUCCAGCAGCCGCGGUAAUACGGAGGAUCCGAGCGUUAUCCGGAUUUAUUGGGUUUAAAGGGGGCGUAGAUGGGUUGUUAAGUCAGUUGUGAAAGUGUGCGGGUCACCCGUAGAAUUGCAAUUGAUACUGGCAGUCUGGAGUACAGAUGAGGUAGGCGGAAUUCGUGGUGUAGCGGUGAAAUGCUUAGAUAUCACGAAGAACCCCGAUUGCGAAGGCAGCUUACUAAACUGUGACUGACGUUGAUGCACGAAAGUGUGGGUAUCAAACAGGAUUAGAUACCCCAGUAGUC
Molecule: ribosomal RNA, 459 nt
Filed under: uncultured bacterium
Lineage: Bacteria
Description: partial 16S ribosomal RNA
Rfam family: Bacterial small subunit ribosomal RNA
Source: RNAcentral